Molecule: ribosomal RNA, 213 nt
Filed under: Triticum aestivum (bread wheat)
Lineage: Eukaryota; Viridiplantae; Streptophyta; Magnoliopsida; Poales; Poaceae
Description: partial small subunit ribosomal RNA
Source: RNAcentral
AUGACUCAGCCUAAGAGUAUGGGAGGUUUGGGCUUCAAAGACUUCGAGCUUUUCAAUCUAGCUAUGCUAGCUAGACAGGUAUGGCGCAUGCUGCAUGAUCCUCACUCCCUCAGUGCGCGAAUUAUGAAGAGCAUCUACUUCCCUAAUACCACUAUCCUAGAUGCCUCCCUCGGGAGUCACCCAAGCCAGAUAUGGUGAGCCCUAGUGGAAGGA